RNAcentral lists this unclassified non-coding RNA (293 nucleotides) under uncultured fungus. Its description in RNAcentral is "sequence contains ITS1". Lineage: Eukaryota; Fungi. The record is from RNAcentral.
GGACUACUGGGGUUUCUAAUCCUGUUCGCUCCCCAGACUUUCGCUCCUCAGUGUCAGUAUUGGCCCAGAGACCUGCCUUCGCCAUUGGUGUUCCUCCUGAUAUCUGCGCAUUCCACCGCUACACCAGGAAUUCCAGUCUCCCCUACCAAACUCUAGUUUGCCCGUAUCGAAUGCAGGCCUGAGGUUGAGCCUCAGGUUUUCACAUCCGACGUAACAAACGACCUACGAGCUCUUUACGCCCAAUAAUUCCGGACAACGCUUGCACCCUAUGUAUUACCGCGGCUGCUGGCACG